Molecule: long non-coding RNA, 306 nt
Filed under: Vigna radiata
Lineage: Eukaryota; Viridiplantae; Streptophyta; Magnoliopsida; Fabales; Fabaceae
Description: long non-coding RNA (VRAD_LNC009011)
Source: RNAcentral
UUAAACUCAACUAGACAACAUAUCAGGAAGAUAUCAAAAUUGUCUAGGGAUAUAAGGAGUGGUGAAGAAUAUUGCGCAACUAGGAGUGGAUGAAACUAGGAUCUAGUCAGAGUAACAGUGGUUACUUGAAGUGACUGGGAUAUUAGGAGUGGUGAAAAAACAUAGUUGUAAUUUUAUUGAAGAUUAUAGUGGAAAUCUCUAAGGUAUUAGAGGAGACUGGGUAUAGCUCAAUGGAGUGAACCAGUAUAAAAACAAUGGUGCGUUUAUUGUUUUAUUCUCUUUAAAUGCUUCUCUUACAAAUCUUAC